UACGAAGGGGGCUAGCGUUGUUCGGAAUUACUGGGCGUAAAGCGCACGUAGGCGGAUCCUUAAGUCGGGGGUGAAAUCCUGGAGCUCAACUCCAGAACUGCCUUCGAUACUGAGGAUCUCGAGUCCGGGAGAGGUGAGUGGAACUGCGAGUGUAGAGGUGAAAUUCGUAGAUAUUCGCAAGAACACCAGUGGCGAAGGCGGCUCACUGGCCCGGUACUGACGCUGAGGUGCGAAAGCGUGGGGAGCAAACAGG
This 253-nucleotide ribosomal RNA is filed under the name uncultured bacterium. RNAcentral's name for it is "partial 16S ribosomal RNA". It matches the Rfam family "Bacterial small subunit ribosomal RNA", at positions 524 to 776 of the family's 1533-position model. The record is from RNAcentral.